This 1346-nucleotide ribosomal RNA is filed under the name uncultured bacterium. RNAcentral describes it as "partial 16S ribosomal RNA". It matches the Rfam family "Bacterial small subunit ribosomal RNA", at positions 28 to 1381 of the family's 1533-position model. The record is from RNAcentral.
GACGAACGCUGGCGGCGUGCUUAACACAUGCAAGUCGAACGGAAAGGCCCUGCUUUUGUGGGGUGCUCGAGUGGCGAACGGGUGAGUAACACGUGAGUAACCUGCCCUUGACUUUGGGAUAACUUCAGGAAACUGGGGCUAAUACCGGAUAGGAGCUCCUGCUGCAUGGUGGGGGUUGGAAAGUUUCGGCGGUUGGGGAUGGACUCGCGGCUUAUCAGCUUGUUGGUGGGGUAGUGGCUUACCAAGGCUUUGACGGGUAGCCGGCCUGAGAGGGUGACCGGCCACAUUGGGACUGAGAUACGGCCCAGACUCCUACGGGAGGCAGCAGUGGGGAAUAUUGCACAAUGGGCGGAAGCCUGAUGCAGCAACGCCGCGUGCGGGAUGACGGCCUUCGGGUUGUAAACCGCUUUCGCCUGUGACGAAGCGUGAGUGACGGUAAUGGGUAAAGAAGCACCGGCUAACUACGUGCCAGCAGCCGCGGUGAUACGUGGGGUGCGAGCGUUGUCCGGAUUUAUUGGGCGUAAAGGGCUCGUAGGUGGUUGAUCGCGUCGGAAGUGUAAUCUUGGGGCUUAACCCUGAGCGUGCUUUCGAUACGGGUUGACUUGAGGAAGGUAGGGGAGAAUGGAAUUCCUGGUGGAGCGGUGGAAUGCGCAGAUAUCAGGAGGAACACCAGUGGCGAAGGCGGUUCUCUGGGCCUUUCCUGACGCUGAGGAGCGAAAGCGUGGGGAGCGAACAGGCUUAGAUACCCUGGUAGUCCACGCUGUAAACGGUGGGUACUAGGUGUGGGGUCCAUUCCACGGGUUCCGUGCCGUAGCUAACGCUUUAAGUACCCCGCCUGGGGAGUACGGCCGCAAGGCUAAAACUCAAAGGAAUUGACGGGGCCCCGCACAAGCGGCGGAGCAUGCGGAUUAAUUCGAUGCAACGCGUAGAACCUUACCUGGGUUUGACAUGGAUCGGGAGUGCUCAGAGAUGGGUGUGCCUCUUUUGGGGUCGGUUCACAGGUGGUGCAUGGCUGUCGUCAGCUCGUGUCGUGAGAUGUUGGGUUAAGUCCCGCAACGAGCGCAACCCUUGUUCACUGUUGCCAGCACGUUAUGGUGGGGACUCAGUGGAGACCGCCGGGGUCAACUCGGAGGAAGGUGGGGAUGACGUCAGGUCAUCAUGCCCCUUAUGUCCAGGGCUUCACGCAUGCUACAAUGGCUGGUACAGAGAGUGGCGAGCCUGUGAGGGUGAGCGAAUCUCGGAAAGCCGGUCUCAGUUCGGAUUGGGGUCUGCAACUCGACUUCAUGAAGUCGGAGUCGCUAGUAAUCGCAGAUCAGCAACGCUGCGGUGAAUACGUUCCCGAGGCU